RNAcentral lists this unclassified non-coding RNA (523 nucleotides) under Hevea brasiliensis (rubber tree). Lineage: Eukaryota; Viridiplantae; Streptophyta; Magnoliopsida; Malpighiales; Euphorbiaceae. The record is from RNAcentral.
GGGCGGGAGAAGAAGAAGAAUUAGUAAAGUGUGAUCAUAAUGUCUGCUAGCGGCGGCACCGGAGAUGAAGAUAAGAAGCCUAAUGAUCAGAUGGUUCAUAUCAAUCUCAAGGUUAAGGGUCAGGAUGGGAAUGAAGUUUUUUUCAGGAUCAAACGUAGCACACAGAUGCGCAAGCUCAUGAAUGCUUAUUGUGACCGGCAGUCAGUGGACAUGAACUCAAUUGCAUUCUUAUUUGAUGGGCGCAGGCUUAGGGCAGAGCAAACUCCUGAUGAGCUGGAGAUGGAGGAGGGUGAUGAAAUCGAUGCAAUGCUACAUCAAACUGGAGGCAGUUGCUGCACUUGUUUCUCUAAUUUUUAACUUGGUUUAUGUUAGUAGAUUGUUUAGGGUAAUACUUUCAACUCCCUCAUCUGCUCUAAGAUGGGUAAAUUUAUGAAUGUUUAGUUUUCAGUAUUAGAUGAUGACACUACUAAAUGGUUCAAUUUUCAUGGCAUUUGUAAAAGUUUACUCUUAAUAUGGUUUCAGA